RNAcentral lists this ribosomal RNA (301 nucleotides) under uncultured bacterium. RNAcentral describes it as "partial 16S ribosomal RNA". It matches the Rfam family "Bacterial small subunit ribosomal RNA", at positions 509 to 807 of the family's 1533-position model. The record is from RNAcentral.
CAGCCGCCACGGGAAUACGAAGGGUGCAAGCGUUACUCGGAAUUACUGGGCGUAAAGCGUGCGUAGGUGGUGGUUUAAGUCCGUUGUGAAAGCCCUGGGCUCAACCUGGAAAUUGCAGUGGAUACUGGGUCACUAGAGUGUGGUAGAGGAUAGUGGAAUUUCCGGUGUAGCAGUGAAAUGCGUAGAGAUCGGAAGGAACAUCUGUGGCGAAGGCGACUAUCUGGGCCAACACUGACACUGAGGCACGAAAGCGUGGGGAGCAAACAGGAUUAGAUACCCCGGUAGUCCCUGUCUCUUAUAC